GGAGGAGUGGGUGAGUGGCUGAAACCAGCAGAUUGCUAAUUUGUCGUACGAUUAAGGUCGUACCGAGAGUUCGAAUCUCUCCUCCUCCGCCA
This 92-nucleotide transfer RNA is filed under the name Bdellovibrionales bacterium. RNAcentral's name for it is "tRNA-Ser". It matches the Rfam family "tRNA". Rfam says of the family: Transfer RNA (tRNA) molecules are approximately 80 nucleotides in length. Their secondary structure includes four short double-helical elements and three loops (D, anti-codon, and T loops). Lineage: Bacteria; Pseudomonadati; Bdellovibrionota; Bdellovibrionia; Bdellovibrionales. The record is from RNAcentral.